UAAAAUCCGUCGAUUUUUAAAAUCGUGAGGGUUCAAGUCCCUCUAUCCCCC
RNAcentral lists this transfer RNA (51 nucleotides) under Orobanche bartlingii. Its description in RNAcentral is "partial tRNA-Leu". The record is from RNAcentral. Lineage: Eukaryota; Viridiplantae; Streptophyta; Magnoliopsida; Lamiales; Orobanchaceae.